This 89-nucleotide unclassified non-coding RNA is filed under the name fungal sp. Its description in RNAcentral is "partial internal transcribed spacer region". The record is from RNAcentral. Lineage: Eukaryota; Fungi.
GGUGGCCGGAAUCGCAAACGUGACCAGGUAAAUCGGAGUCGGCAUUUCGCUACGCGGAAAAACAAAUCCUGACAGCAAGAUCGACGGCA